AACUGAGGAUUCAAAGUGUGUGGUAUCUUUUGGGGUGAGCAUUAAAAAACAAAAAUAAACGGUUACAGCACAUCUUCAGAAAGUGAGAAGGAAGGGAGGCUAGCGAAGGCGGAGGGGUUAAAUAAACUUUGGAGACAGGAAGUGGGUAAAACACAUCACCACCCAUGCAGGGGGUGGGGAGCUGUAUAGUGCAGCGCAUCUCAGGUGCGCCCCCCCCCCAUGGCGACCGCAAUUCAGGCUUAAAGGAGAGCAAGGCUCGGCUCUGGCAUAUGGUCCUGCUUGUGUUUCUUGAGGCAUUUCAGCAAUGUUAAUGAACGUGGCCAAGCUGGCUUUAGUAGGCAAGGGAGUGAGUGGGGAGGGUAAUAAUAGCAGCGGGAAGCUGGCCACUGCCAGGACCGGUGGAAAGCGUGCACACACUGCCUUGAGAGGGCAGAACUCCUGCGGCGGCAGCAGCGGCGGCAGCGCGAUGUGGACGGACCAGAGCAGAGAGAUGUAAACGCCAGAACCCCAGAGUUUGGGAAGAGUCUGAGACACGUGACCAGCGAGGAAGGGACAUCCAAGUGUACAGAGAACAUCUCAGAAGCACAAAAAAUUCCCUAACCCAUCACAUCAUGUAUGGUACAGACACUGGACCAGCCAUGACAAUAAUGUCAGAAAGGCUUAACCAAAGUGGGAGGACCCACCCUGAAUGUGGGAGGCACCAGUGAUGGACCGAGGCCUCAGACUGAAUAAAAAGAGGGAAGUGAGCUGAGCGGCCACGCCCAUCGCCGCAUCCUGACUGUGGACGCCUUGUGAUUGGCUGCCCCACAGCCCUGGCACCAGGACGUCCCUGCCGUGGUGGACAAUAUCCUCAAACUGUAACCAAAUAAACCCUUCCUUCUUUAA
This is a long non-coding RNA of Peromyscus leucopus (white-footed mouse), 885 nucleotides long. RefSeq lists it as uncharacterized. The record is from RefSeq and is a predicted model, not a curated record. Lineage: Eukaryota; Metazoa; Chordata; Mammalia; Rodentia; Cricetidae. The transcript is spliced from 3 exons.